Molecule: unclassified non-coding RNA, 118 nt
Filed under: uncultured Archaeorhizomyces
Lineage: Eukaryota; Fungi; Ascomycota; Archaeorhizomycetes; Archaeorhizomycetales; Archaeorhizomycetaceae
Description: sequence contains ITS1
Source: RNAcentral
AUAAGAUAAAAGGCCUCCGGGCCCUUCAUCCUCAAACCUGUGGAAGCGAGAUGUGUUUCGGCGCCUCUGUGCGUCGGAUCUAUGCUGUUUAGCUUGUGUCUGACUAAAAAAACAUUUA